Molecule: regulatory RNA element, 150 nt
Organism: Dethiosulfovibrio peptidovorans DSM 11002
Lineage: Bacteria; Thermotogati; Synergistota; Synergistia; Synergistales; Dethiosulfovibrionaceae
Source: Rfam
GGAGCCCGUUCGAGCCUGUCUUUUCGACCUGCCGUCGUGUAGUACGAAUGGGGCGACAGGACGUCGUCCCAAGCCGAGGGGGCACAGGACGUGCCCUCCGAGGCGGUCCGUACGAAACAGGCAGGUCGAAAAGACGCUCGUGCGAGACAG